GAUGAAGAACGCAGCGAAAUGCGAUAAGUAGUGUGAAUUGCAGAAUUCAGUAAUCAUCGAAUCUUUGAACGCACAUUGCGGCCAUAGGUAUUCCUUUGGCCAUGCCUGUUCGAGCGUCAUUUACACCCUCAAGCCUAGCUUGGUGUUGGGCGUCUGUCCCGCCGUUCUCGCGCGCGGACUCGCCUCAAAGUCAUUGGCGGCGGUCGUGCCGGCCCCCUCGCGCAGCACAUUUGCGCUUCUCGGAGGCCCGGCGGAUCCGCGCUCCAGCAAGACCUUUCACGACUUGACCUCGGAUCAGGUAGGGAUACCCGCUGAACUUAAGCAUAUCAAUAAGCGGAGGA
This 341-nucleotide unclassified non-coding RNA is filed under the name soil metagenome. RNAcentral describes it as "partial contains 5.8S ribosomal RNA, internal transcribed spacer 2, and large subunit ribosomal RNA". The stretch from base 1 to 119 matches the Rfam family "5.8S ribosomal RNA", at positions 35 to 154 of the family's 154-position model. The record is from RNAcentral.